GGGGGCAAAAUCCAAACGGCUUCUAUUCAAUACCCCUGACAUUGCACAAAAUAACGAAAACGGGACGACCGUACACAAUGGGGUUCGGUGCAGUAAUUUUUUCCUAAUGGCUGGGGAGCAAGUUGGAGAUAGAAACGAACGAAGAAGGUCGUUUUCGUAAUAAUUGGACUGAUGGAUGACCAUCUUCGUAUCGGUCUCUUCUCGCGAUCCGAGCGAUGGAUAUCUCCGGUUUACUUUGGAGGGUUUUUUGACCACCGUAAAAUCCAGCUUAAACAUCUGGGCUAGACGUUCCAGGGAAUUACGAAAGUGGCCCUAUUUGAAUUUCCCGCUAAGAUACCGAAUCUUUUUAAAUUUUGGAAGAUUCCGCACGGGUCGGAAUUAUGCGCCC
This 388-nucleotide long non-coding RNA is filed under the name Elaeis guineensis (African oil palm). RNAcentral describes it as "long non-coding RNA (EGUI_LNC016106)". The record is from RNAcentral. Lineage: Eukaryota; Viridiplantae; Streptophyta; Magnoliopsida; Arecales; Arecaceae.